UUUAUAGCUUGCUAUGAUAAAAAUUAGUGGCAGACGGGUGAGUAAUGCAUAGGAAUCUACCUAGUAGUAUGGGAUAGCCACUAGAAAUGGUGGGUAAUACUGUAUAAUCCCUGCGGGGGAAAGAUUUAUCGCUAUUAGAUGAGCCUAUGUUAGAUUAGCUAGUUGGUAGGGUAAAGGCCUACCAAGGCAGUGAUCUAUAGCUGGUCUGAGAGGAUGAUCAGCCACACUGGAACUGAGAUACGGUCCAGACUCCUACGGGAGGCAGCAGUGGGGAAUAUUGGACAAUGGGCGCAAGCCUGAUCCAGCUAUGCCGCGUGAGUGAGGAAGGCCUUAGGGUUGUAAAACUCUUUCAGUGGGGAAGAUAAUGACGGUACCCACAGAAGAAGUCCC
This 390-nucleotide ribosomal RNA is filed under the name uncultured Anaplasma sp. Its description in RNAcentral is "bacterial SSU rRNA". It matches the Rfam family "Bacterial small subunit ribosomal RNA", at positions 72 to 494 of the family's 1533-position model. Lineage: Bacteria; Pseudomonadati; Pseudomonadota; Alphaproteobacteria; Rickettsiales; Anaplasmataceae. The record is from RNAcentral.